ACAGUCACUUUAUUAGAAUGAUUCACCACUGAUAACUGUUUUGUGUUUUCCCAUGUGUCAAGGUCCUGGUGCCCUCUCCCCUGCUCAGGCAAAAGCUGCUAAAUAUGGUGCAGGAGUAGUUCCUGGUGGUGCUGGGAUUGUGCCAGGAGCUGGAGGGGUUUAUCCUGCAACGGGAGGUCUUACUCCCGCUCAAGCCAAAGCAGCUAAAUAUUCCCAACAUUUCAGUGGGGCAGCUGGAACUGGUGUUGGAGGACUGUACCCUGGAGCUGGAGGUGAGUGACAACAAACAAUCAAAUCACUUCUUGAGGCACUUAGAAGCCACUGCACAAAAUAUCCAUAGCCACGUUUCCACUGUCGGGCCAAAAGCGAGCGUGCUAGUGUGUGCCAGGGCCAGUCGCAUUUCCACUGUCACUUCUGGGGCUUGAUCGUGCCUCAUCGGGGCUUCCUCGGGGCCAACGCCCAGGGCUUUUUGGCCCGCCAAAUACCUUGGGCCAAAGCGGGCCAACUGGGGCUUGAGGCGUGGUCAAGGUGAAAGGCGGAGUUUAUCUCCGGUAAGCGAGUAGUCAGGUAAGAGUGUAUGCGGC
Sinocyclocheilus anshuiensis is the source of this 584-nucleotide long non-coding RNA. The record is from Ensembl. NCBI's taxonomy places the organism in Eukaryota, Metazoa, Chordata, Actinopteri, Cypriniformes, Cyprinidae.